CGGCGGUGGCGGCUACGGAGGUGGCGGUGGGGGCUCCGGAGGUGGUGGUGGCUACGGAGGAGGUGGCAGCGGCGGCGGAGGUGGCUAUGGAGGAGGAGGCGGCGGCGGCGGCUACGGAGGAGGAGGCGGCGGUUACACACCGACACCAACACCGUCGACGCCCAGCCACAGCGGAUCCUGCGAGUAAGCCAAACGUGCCGCUAGAUAAUAAUCUGCUAAACUCAAUCAACAGAUCACAGAUUCAAGGCUCAAAAACACAAACCGUUGUAAGUCUAAGUGUGUAACCCUGCAUCUGCGCGUGUGUGCGCAGCUACUGGAAGGGCCACCCGGAGAAGAUCAUCGACUGCAUCGGCAACCUGGGCAGCAUUCUGGGCUCCCUCGGCGAGGUGUGCCACGCCUUCUUCGGCAGCAAGAUCCAUACCCUGCAGGACGCGCUGUGCAACACCCGGACCGACUGCUACGGUGACCUGCUGCGCGAGGGCGCCGCCGCCUACAUCAACGCCAUCGCCGCCAAGAAGGAGAAGUUCGCCUACACCGCCUACCAGGUCAAGGAGUGCGUCGCCGUCGGGCUCACCUCCGAGUUCGCCGCCGCAGCGCAGGCCGCCAUGUUGAAGAAGGCCAACUACGCAUGUCACUACUAGGCUAGGCUGCCGCCCCAGCUGGUAGUCGUCGGUGGCUAAAUAAGUCCAUAUAUGCAUGCACGUGUCGUGCAUGUUUUCAUGCAGUUCCCGGAUGCGCGCGAGCGUGUCCUCCGCUAAGCCUUUAUGUGUUUGUUUGCCUUUUGAUGAUGCAUGCCAUGCCGUCUCGUAUACGUAGUGAUGCUUAAUGCUUUGCUUGCUUUUCUUAUCGUCGUUGGUGAUGUAAGAAUAAUUUGAUUUGGGGAGUUAUUAGUGAAAGAUAU
This 901-nucleotide long non-coding RNA is filed under the name Triticum aestivum (bread wheat). RNAcentral's name for it is "long non-coding RNA (TAES_LNC016547)". Lineage: Eukaryota; Viridiplantae; Streptophyta; Magnoliopsida; Poales; Poaceae. The record is from RNAcentral.